AUCACAAGGUCAGGAGAUCGAGACCAUCCUGGCUAACACGAGUCUCUUCACCCCUAGUAUCAGUAUACAGGGGACAUUCAGUUGUUGACUGCCUGAUGAAUGUUUGCCAGUAAUUAGAACUGAGAGACACUCAAAGAUUCUGGACUGUCUUCUGAGCAGAGAAUAAAAAGUAGCUAUCAUCUGCCCACCACAGACAUGAAAAAACAAGAAAGACAGUUUGCAGAGAGGAGAGAAUGAAACAGGACUGUAGAGAGAAGCAGAGACAAGAAAUGGAUCUUCCCAUCUCGUCAUGAGCUUCCACUUCCAGGGAAUUGCCUCUCUCCCACUGUGUGAUGUCAUUGUGGGAUGGUCAAUACACAUGCCUAUCCUCUCUCCAGGUAAUUCAAGGGGGUUUCUGGAGGUCCCUUUCAUCAGGUCAUUCUUCUCACUGCCCUGUUUCAGUGGGAGGUAAGUUAGAAUUUCUUAGACCUUGGUCCUUAAUACUCUCCAUUUCU
This 494-nucleotide long non-coding RNA is filed under the name Homo sapiens (human). RNAcentral's name for it is "HSALNT0342717". Lineage: Eukaryota; Metazoa; Chordata; Mammalia; Primates; Hominidae. The record is from RNAcentral.